This 73-nucleotide transfer RNA is filed under the name Bacteroidota bacterium. Its description in RNAcentral is "Bacteroidetes bacterium tRNA-Gln". It matches the Rfam family "tRNA". From Rfam's summary of the family: Transfer RNA (tRNA) molecules are approximately 80 nucleotides in length. Their secondary structure includes four short double-helical elements and three loops (D, anti-codon, and T loops). Further hydrogen bonds mediate the characteristic L-shaped molecular structure. tRNAs have two regions of fundamental functional importance: the anti-codon, which is responsible for specific mRNA codon recognition, and the 3' end, to which the tRNAs corresponding amino acid is attached (by aminoacyl-tRNA synthetases). tRNAs cope with the degeneracy of the genetic code in two manners: having more than one tRNA (with a specific anti-codon) for a particular amino acid; and 'wobble' base-pairing, i.e. permitting non-standard base-pairing at the 3rd anti-codon position. The record is from RNAcentral. Lineage: Bacteria; Pseudomonadati; Bacteroidota.
UGACCGAUGGUGUAACAGGCAACACAUCUGAUUCUGGAUCAGAAGAGUCCAGGUUCGACCCCUGGUCGGUCAG